This 134-nucleotide small nucleolar RNA is filed under the name Rattus norvegicus (Norway rat). RNAcentral's name for it is "Small nucleolar RNA SNORA17". It matches the Rfam family "Small nucleolar RNA SNORA17". From Rfam's summary of the family: snoRNA ACA 17 belongs to the H/ACA family of snoRNAs and is predicted to guide pseudouridylation of the 28S rRNA at positions U4659 and U4598. It shares the same host gene together with ACA43. NB This family has a high threshold value to exclude a large number of closely related sequences that do not appear to have conserved H and ACA boxes, and may be pseudogenes. The record is from Rfam by way of RNAcentral. Lineage: Eukaryota; Metazoa; Chordata; Mammalia; Rodentia; Muridae.
CAGGCCCUGAAGGCAUUUAUAGGGUUGCUGUUGUGUCACAAGUGCGUCGGUAGGUAGCACAGAAAAGAUGAGGCGAUGUUCAUGCUUGGCGUUCUGACCUGUGAACUAAUCUGAAUGAUCAGUAGCCUAACAUU